RNAcentral lists this small RNA (993 nucleotides) under Caenorhabditis elegans. Its description in RNAcentral is "Unclassified non-coding RNA K05C4.12". The record is from RNAcentral. Lineage: Eukaryota; Metazoa; Nematoda; Chromadorea; Rhabditida; Rhabditidae.
GGCUGCCUUCCUGCUCUCUACGUGGAGCUCUGCACCGCAAAAGACGAGCGAUCCCAGACGGCGAUUCUAGUGGCGAUGAGAAAUCUGUCGGAUUCUGCGACAAACGAGGAAAAUCUCACUCAACUGAUCAUCAAGCUUCUCGAAAUCAUUCGUGUCGCCAACGAUGGAAUGACUGCCUGCGCGUGUGGAACAUUGAGCAAUCUCACCUGCAAUAACACUAGAAACAAGCAAACCGUGUGUUCUCACGGGGGAAUCGAUGCUCUCGUCACCGCGAUCCGCCGACUACCUGAAGUUGAAGAAGUCACCGAACCGGCUCUCUGUGCUCUUCGGCACUGUACUGCCAGGCACUCACUGGCUGAAGAAGCUCAAAGUGAGCUGAGAUUCUGUCAAGCAUUCCCAGUGAUUUUGGAUCAGCUGGAAACUCUUCGUACUCCAGUUAUCAAGGCAGCUCUCGGAGUUAUUAGAAAUAGUGCACUUCUUCAAACAAAUCUUAUCGAGUUGACACAAGAACAAACUGCAAAUGGGCAUACAGCUGUGUCACUGACAAUGGAUAUCUUGAGAAGAGCUAUCACGGCGAUUGAGGAGAAUCCUGAUAUUGCUGUAGAUGGAGUUCCAAUGUGGGGAGUCAUCGAAGGAGCUGUCUCGGCUCUUCAUCAGCUCGCGAAUCAUCCGGCAGUCGCUGCAGCAUGCUGUGAUGAUAUUGGACAAGUCGGAAAUCCAGAAUGUCCACCAUUCUUGGAUCUUCUCCAUCGUCUUCUGGCUCAUCCGAGACUCGGAUCCAUGGAUGAUGAAGUUCUCGAACGCGAGAUUCUUGGGCUUCUCUAUCAGUUGAGCAAGCGGCCAGACGGAGCCCGUGCUGUUGAGAGUACUGGAGUUAGUGCUCUUUUAAUGGAAUCUCGUGGCUCACAGUACAAAUCAGUCGUCACUUAUGCGAAUGGAGUGUUGAGUAAUUUGAAGAGAGGAGAUUCAGCUGCCAUCAUGAAUAUGUCUAAU